RNAcentral lists this ribosomal RNA (303 nucleotides) under uncultured bacterium. RNAcentral's name for it is "partial 16S ribosomal RNA". It matches the Rfam family "Bacterial small subunit ribosomal RNA", at positions 507 to 807 of the family's 1533-position model. The record is from RNAcentral.
AGCAGUAGCCGCGGGAAUACAGAGGGUGCAAGCGUUAAUCGGAAUUACUGGGCGUAAAACGCGCGUAGGUGGUUCGCCAAGUUGGAUGUGAAAUCCCCGGGCUCAACCUGGGAACUGCAUCCAAAACUGGCGAGCUAGAGUAUGGUAGAGGGUGGUGGAAUUUCCUGUGUAGCGGUGAAAUGCGUAGAUAUAGGAAGGAACAUCAGUGGCGAAGGCGACCACCUGGACUGAUACUGACACUGAGGUGCGAAAGCGUGGGGAGCAAACAGGAUUAGAUACCCCUGUAGUCCCUGUCUCUUAUAC